UAGCAGCUAAACAAGCACUGGCCUCAAGA
This 29-nucleotide non-coding RNA is filed under the name Homo sapiens (human). The record is from RNAcentral. Lineage: Eukaryota; Metazoa; Chordata; Mammalia; Primates; Hominidae.